This 253-nucleotide ribosomal RNA is filed under the name uncultured bacterium. Its description in RNAcentral is "partial 16S ribosomal RNA". It matches the Rfam family "Bacterial small subunit ribosomal RNA", at positions 524 to 776 of the family's 1533-position model. The record is from RNAcentral.
UACGUAGGGCGCAAGCGUUAUCCGGAAUUAUUGAGCGUAAAGAGCUCGUAGGCGGUUUGUCGCGUCUGCCGUGAAAGUCCGGGGCUCAACUCCGGAUCUGCGGUGGGUACGGGCAGACUAGAGUGAUGUAGGGGAGACUGGAAUUCCUGGUGUAGCGGUGAAAUGCGCAGAUAUCAGGAGGAACACCGAUGGCGAAGGCAGGUCUCUGGGCAUUAACUGACACUGAGGAGCGAAAGCAUGGGGAGCGAACAGG